This 864-nucleotide ribosomal RNA is filed under the name Triticum aestivum (bread wheat). RNAcentral's name for it is "partial small subunit ribosomal RNA". The record is from RNAcentral. Lineage: Eukaryota; Viridiplantae; Streptophyta; Magnoliopsida; Poales; Poaceae.
AUGACGAUGCCGAGGAGGAAGAGCCGGCGGAGCCAGCGGCCAAAGGGAGAAAGAAGAAGCGGCCAUCCAACCCCAGGCCUGGCGAGCCUCGUGUCAAGUGGACGCCAAAGGAAGACAAGUGCCUCGCCGAAGCAUGGAAGACUGUCAGCAUCAACCCAAUCACCGGCGCGAAUCAGAACGCCGACACCUACUGGAGAAGGAUCAAGACGGCGUUCGACGAGCGCAAAUUGGUCGACCCCGACUUCUCCAGCAUUCACAUGGAUCGCGGCGAGAAGGCCAUGGCGAACCAUUGAGCGACCAUCCAGCAGGCCUGCAACAAGUGUCAUGGGAUUCAAGAGGAGGUCAUGGCUCGCUCGAAAAGCGGCGCCAACUUCAAGCGUCAGGUAUGUCCAUCGCUCGCCGGCCCAGCUCUUCGCCGUGUACUUCGCCGACACUUGUUCUUCGACUGUGCAGAUGGUUCGGAUGUUCGACAUGUUUCGCCAGGACAACAUCGACCAAGAGUUCAAGUUCCUUCAUGUGUUCACCAAGAUCGAGUCAUGCGAGAAAUGGACAGAGUGCCGGCUCGCUCUCGCCAAGGCCAAGGAUGGUGUCUCCAACCCGGACGCGCUUGCCUCAGCAGCGGUAGAACGGCGUCCUGAUGGCAACAAAAGAGCCAAGGGGGCGAGGGACGCGACACCCGCUGUGGAAUGGCUGCAAUCGUCGAUAGAACAGUGCAUCGCCGACGCCAAGAGCAACGCCGCCAAGAGGGAGGAGAAAUCCGAGGCGAGGUGGUCGGCGUUGAUGAUGAAGCAGGGCGUCAAGUUCGACCUUCUCAGAACCAAUAUGUCGCUGCGAAGAAGAGGAACACCGACCUGGCGUUCCUGA